AUGUAUGCUAUAAGAAGUAACGAUAAUCAUGAUUUUAAUGUUCAAUUGGUUUUGCUUCGAAACAGAACCCUGCAAUCAAAUAGAUUGUUCCAAGGGCGCCAUAUUCUAGGAGCCCAAGUUAUGCUAUUAAAAAGUCAUUCCUCUAGCAAUUCCAGUUUUAGCAUUAUGUUCCCUUUUUCAAACUCCACUUCUUUUCAUAUAGCAAUCCUUGAUCAAAGAGAUAAUAGUAUCCAUUUCAAAAUAUUUCUAACAUAUUCCUUAGUUUGGACCGACGAUCAAUCAAGUUUCAUAUGA
Molecule: ribosomal RNA, 294 nt
Filed under: Triticum aestivum (bread wheat)
Lineage: Eukaryota; Viridiplantae; Streptophyta; Magnoliopsida; Poales; Poaceae
Description: partial small subunit ribosomal RNA
Source: RNAcentral